CGCACAUUGCGCCCGCCAGUAUUCUGGCGGGCAUGCCUGUCCGAGCGUCAUUACAACCCUCAGGCCCCCGGGCCUGGCGUUGGGGAUCGGCGGAGCCUCCGGGCACACGCCGUCCCCUAAAUACAUUGGCGGUCUCGCUGCAGCCCACUGCGUAGUAGCUAACACCUCGCAACUGGAAAGCGGCGCGGCCAUGCCGUAAAACACCCAACUUUUAUGAUGUUGACCUCGGAUCAGGUAGGAAUACCCGCUGAACUUAA
This 257-nucleotide unclassified non-coding RNA is filed under the name Fusarium solani. RNAcentral describes it as "partial contains 5.8S ribosomal RNA, internal transcribed spacer 2, and large subunit ribosomal RNA". Lineage: Eukaryota; Fungi; Ascomycota; Sordariomycetes; Hypocreales; Nectriaceae. The record is from RNAcentral.